RNAcentral lists this ribosomal RNA (256 nucleotides) under uncultured bacterium. RNAcentral describes it as "partial 16S ribosomal RNA". It matches the Rfam family "Bacterial small subunit ribosomal RNA", at positions 521 to 776 of the family's 1533-position model. The record is from RNAcentral.
UAAUACGAAGGGGGCUAGCGUUGCUCGGAAUCACUGGGCGUAAAGGGUGCGUAGGCGGAUUUUUAAGUCAGGGGUGAAAUCCUGGAGCUCAACUCCAGAACUGCCUUUGAUACUGGGAAUCUUGAGUUCGGGAGAGGUGAGUGGAACUGCGAGUGUAGAGGUGAAAUUCGUAGAUAUUCGCAAGAACACCAGUGGCGAAGGCGGCUCACUGGCCCGAUACUGACGCUGAGGCACGAAAGCGUGGGGAGCAAACAGG